Molecule: long non-coding RNA, 249 nt
Filed under: Elaeis guineensis (African oil palm)
Lineage: Eukaryota; Viridiplantae; Streptophyta; Magnoliopsida; Arecales; Arecaceae
Description: long non-coding RNA (EGUI_LNC039484)
Source: RNAcentral
UCGAGAAGAAUUAGGUUUAACCAUAUGCUAGCAUGGUUCUCUUAAAUCUAAUAGAAUUUCAAUAAAUCCUAACCCAAUUAAAACUUCAUAAGCUCAAUUGACAAAUUCAAGAUUAAAUCUCUCAAGGUGUGACCCCAUAGGUUUCAUUCUAUCUAAUAGUGGAUAUAUUGUGAUCUCCAUCACAAUAUCAUCGAAACUCUUUUUGAUGGGUUGGAAUAAUUCCAACUCUAUCCUUCAAGGGUCAUCGAU